AAAAACUUAGGAUAUUAAAACCAAGGGCCUUCAAAGCCCUAAAAAAGGGUGCAAG
Molecule: transfer RNA, 55 nt
Filed under: Anolis distichus favillarum
Lineage: Eukaryota; Metazoa; Chordata; Lepidosauria; Squamata; Anolidae
Description: partial tRNA-Trp
Source: RNAcentral